GUGAGUUUCGAGAGCACAGUGUGCAGCCCGCGCAGGUGGUAGUGGAACUGCUGUUCCAGGUCUUCUUCGCCGGCGUCCGCACCCUCCAAGUGGCCCAGGUCCACCAGGAUGUCCUUGGACUUCCAGGCACUGCCCUCCUCGCUCCCAGCCGGUGGAGGCGGCUGGUGCAGGACCCCCCACUCGAUGUCGUUGCGGAUGGACUUGAGAAGCACGUAGUGGCUGUACAUGUCCCGAGAGGGCGCGAAAAAGCUGCCAUUGGCGCUUCCCGAGUCGGGGACUGGGGGCGUGCGCUCCUCCAGGCAGCCGCCACUGCCGCCUACCUCCACGCCAACAUCGUUGUCUAACCCGGGGUCAGCCAGGGGCACGUCGCGCAGCAAGCUGGGCACCAUCACCGUCUGGUCCAUGUUGUUCACGGCGCCAAUGAAGCGAUUCAUGGCGUUAAAGAGCGAGUGCUGAGACUCUCCUGCUCGUUGGCAAUUCAGUGUUCUCGCUGCAAGCGGCUGCUACGCAAGGGCGCUGCUGCGGUCAGUGGCUGGACUGUGACUGCGGACGGCGGUGACUGCGUUGGCCCCCUACCCAUCCCAGGUGCUCAAUUUAUAGUCCAGGAAAGGUGUCGCCGGCGCUCAGGGCCACCCCUGGUGUCUCCUCCUCCCGCCUCCCCCGGCAGCACCGAGAUAAAAGGCUCAUCUAUCUUUUGUAGUGUGGAAUCAUGAUUGGGACCUUGAAUCUU
This 730-nucleotide long non-coding RNA is filed under the name Homo sapiens (human). RNAcentral describes it as "long non-coding RNA NONHSAT223271.1". The record is from RNAcentral. Lineage: Eukaryota; Metazoa; Chordata; Mammalia; Primates; Hominidae.